CAAGACCGGUGCCAGCCGCCGCGGUAAUACCGGCAGCCCAAGUGAUGACCGAUAUUAUUGGGCCUAAAGCGUCCGUAGCCGGCCACGAAGGUUCAUCGGGAAAUCCGCCAGCUUAACUGGCGGGCGUCCGGUGAAAACCACGUGGCUUGGGACCGGAAGGCUCGAGGGGUACGUCCGGGGUAGGAGUGAAAUCCCGUAAUCCUGGACGGACCACCGAUGGCGAAAGCACCUCGAGAAGACGGAUCCGACGGUGAGGGACGAAAGCUAGGGUCUCGAACCGGAUUAGAUACCCGGGUAGUCCUAGCUGUAAACGAUGCUCGCUAGGUGUGGCACAGGCUACGAGCCUGUGCUGUGCCGUAGGGAAGCCGAGAAGCGAGCCGCCUGGGAAGUACGUCCGC
This 398-nucleotide ribosomal RNA is filed under the name Haloferax larsenii. Its description in RNAcentral is "bacterial SSU rRNA". It matches the Rfam family "Archaeal small subunit ribosomal RNA", at positions 447 to 844 of the family's 1478-position model. Lineage: Archaea; Methanobacteriati; Methanobacteriota; Halobacteria; Halobacteriales; Haloferacaceae. The record is from RNAcentral.